AGCAAGUAGCAGAGGAAGGAGGCAGUAAAUACCAAACUCCCUGUUCACCCAGUUGCUCGCUGCCGACAUUCUCUUGACUGUUUCAGGUCAUUGACGAGACUCUGGACGUUAAGGAAAUGAUUUUCAAUGCCGAGAGAGUUGGAGGCCUUGAGGAAGAGCGGGUACGUGUUUAGCUCCAGAACCUAAGGUUUCCUGUCCAUCUUAGGUAUUUCUCCUCUGGACCUUCUCAGUUCAAGUAGAAAGUGGGAGAGAUGCCUGAGUUAAUAAGGGUCCCUCAUCCCCAGCUUCCCAUACUUUUGGAUAAGAAAGCUAAAAUUAAAAUCUCCAUGGAGAUGGGGAAGAGUGGGCGUUCUCCACAUAUGGGUGGUUCCUGCAAAGCAGGAUCUUGGUGCCGCUUUGGGUUUUAGGGGCUCGACCUUCCAGGAGCAUGGCCCUCAGUGAGUUACUUGCCUCACGGCUGCCAGAUGGUCACUGGGACUUUGUUCCACGUCUGCUUUAUUACGUAGGAAUCCGUGGGCCCACUGCGGGAGGACUUCAGUCUGAGUAGCAGUGCCCUCAUUGGCCUGCUGGUCAUCGCAGUGGCCAUUGCCACGGUCAUCGUCAUCAGCCUGGUGAUGCUGAGGAAGAGGCAGUAUGGCACCAUCAGCCACGGGAUCGUGGAGGUUGAUCCAAUGCUCACCCCAGAAGAGCGUCACCUGAACAAGAUGCAGAACCAUGGCUAUGAGAACCCCACCUACAAAUACCUGGAGCAGAUGCAGAUUUAGGUGGCAUGGAGUGUGGCAGCCCUGGCGGAGGGGUGCAGGCGGGCUGGAAGAUCCCACGAUUCCGAUCGACUGCCAAGCGGCAGCUGCUGCCAGGGGCUGCGUCUGACAUCCUGACCUCCUGGACUGUAGGACUAUAUAAAGUACUACUGUAGAACUGCAAUUUCCAUUCUUUUAAAUGGGUGAAAAAUGGUAAUAUAACAAUAUAUGAUAUAUAAACCUUAAAUGAAAAAAAUGAUCUAUUGCAGAUAUUUGAUGUAGUUUUCUUUUUUAAAUUAAUCAGAAACCCCACUUCCAUUGUAUUGUCUGACACAUACUCUCAAUAUAUAAAUGGGAAAUGUCGAUUUUCAAUAAUAGACUUAUAUGCAGGCUGUCGUUCCGGUUAUGUUGUGUAAGUCAACUCUUCAGGCUCAUUCACUGUCCUGGCUUUUAUUUAAAGAAAAAAAAAAGGCAGUAUUCCCUUUUUAAAUGAGCUUUCAGGAAGUUGCUGAGAAAUGAGGUGGAAUAGGGAACUGUAAUGGCCACUGAAGCACGUGAGGAGACCCUCGCAAAAUGAUGUGAAAGGACCAGUUUCUUGAAGUCCAGUGUUUCCACGGCUGGAUCCCUUUGUGUCUCCAUAAAAGUCCUGUCACCAAGGACGUUAAAGGCAUUUUAUUCCAGCGUCUUCUAGAGAGCUUAGUGUAUACAGAUGAGGGUGUCUGCUGCUGCUUUCCUUCGGAAUCCAGUGCUUCCAUAGAGAUUAGCCUGUAGCUUAUAUUUGACAUUCUUCACUGUCUGUUGUUUACCUACCGUAGCUUUUUACUGUUCACUUCCCCUUCCAACUAUGUC
This 1589-nucleotide small RNA is filed under the name Pongo abelii (Sumatran orangutan). RNAcentral's name for it is "retained intron". The record is from RNAcentral. Lineage: Eukaryota; Metazoa; Chordata; Mammalia; Primates; Hominidae.